Molecule: ribosomal RNA, 649 nt
Filed under: uncultured Pseudomonadota bacterium
Lineage: Bacteria; Pseudomonadati; Pseudomonadota
Description: bacterial SSU rRNA
Rfam family: Bacterial small subunit ribosomal RNA
Source: RNAcentral
CUAACACAUGCAAGUCGAGCGGUAGCACAGAGAGCUUGCUCUCGGGUGACGAGCGGCGGACGGGUGAGUAAUGCCUGGGAAACUGCCUGAUGGAGGGGGAUAACUACUGGAAACGGUAGCUAAUACCGCAUAAUGUCGCAAGACCAAAGUGGGGAACCUUCGGGCCUCAUGCCAUCAGAUGUGCCCAGAUGGGAUUAGCUAGUAGGUGGGGUAACGGCUCACCUAGGCGACGAUCCCUAGCUGGUCUGAGAGGAUGACCAGCCACACUGGAACUGAGACACGGUCCAGACUCCUACGGGAGGCAGCAGUGGGGAAUAUUGCACAAUGGGCGCAAGCCUGAUGCAGCCAUGCCGCGUGUGUGAAGAAGGCCUUCGGGUUGUAAAGCACUCUCAGCGGGGAGGAAGGCGGUGAGGUUAAUAACCUCAUCGAUUGACGUUACCCGCAGAAGAAGCACCGGCUAACUCCGUGCCAGCAGCCGCGGUAAUACGGAGGGUGCAAGCGUUAAUCGGAAUUACUGGGCGUAAAGCGCACGCAGGCGGUCUGUCAAGUCGGAUGUGAAAUCCCCGGGCUCAACCUGGGACUGCAUUCGAAACUGGCAGGCUAGAGUCUUGUAGAGGGGGGUAGAAUUCCAGGUGUAGCGGUGAAAUGC